This 429-nucleotide ribosomal RNA is filed under the name Gemmatimonadota bacterium. Its description in RNAcentral is "Gemmatimonadetes bacterium partial 16S ribosomal RNA". It matches the Rfam family "Bacterial small subunit ribosomal RNA", at positions 355 to 776 of the family's 1533-position model. Lineage: Bacteria; Pseudomonadati; Gemmatimonadota. The record is from RNAcentral.
UAGGGAAUCUUCGGCAAUGGACGAAAGUCUGACCGAGCAACGCCGCGUGAGUGAAGAAGGUUUUCGGAUCGUAAAACUCUGUUGUUAGAGAAGAACAAGGACGUUAGUAACUGAACGUCCCCUGACGGUAUCUAACCAGAAAGCCACGGCUAACUACGUGCCAGCAGCCGCGGUAAUACGUAGGUGGCAAGCGUUGUCCGGAUUUAUUGGGCGUAAAGCGAGCGCAGGCGGUUUCUUAAGUCUGAUGUGAAAGCCCCCGGCUCAACCGGGGAGGGUCAUUGGAAGCUGGGAGACUUGAGUGCAGAAGAGGGGAGUGGAAUUCGAUGUGUAGCGGUGAAAUGCGUAGAUAUAUGGAGGAACACCGGUGGCGAAGGCGGCUCUCUGGUCUGUAACUGACGCUGAGGCUCGAAAGCGUGGGGAGCAAACAGG